AUGGAUCACAACCCGGAGAUCAUUUGCUGGAACGUGAGAGGGCUUAAUAACCCUGCCAAGAGGAAGGUAGUUAGGGAGUUUCUUUCUUCGCUUAUAGUAAACCUAGUCUGCUUACAAGAGACCAAGCUCGAGACUGUAGACCAGUUUGUUGUAUUGCAAUGUUUAGGGCCAUCCCUUGAUGGCUUUGCCUACUUGCGUGCUGUGGAAACGCGUGGUGGUAUCUUACUGGGUUGG
Molecule: ribosomal RNA, 234 nt
Filed under: Triticum aestivum (bread wheat)
Lineage: Eukaryota; Viridiplantae; Streptophyta; Magnoliopsida; Poales; Poaceae
Description: partial small subunit ribosomal RNA
Source: RNAcentral